CAGGGAAUAGUUUAAUUAAAAUAUUAAUUUUGGAGAUUAAUGAUAGGUCUAUAUCUUUCCUUGA
RNAcentral lists this transfer RNA (64 nucleotides) under Stilpnonotus mexicanus. RNAcentral describes it as "tRNA-Pro". The record is from RNAcentral. Lineage: Eukaryota; Metazoa; Arthropoda; Insecta; Coleoptera; Mycteridae.